CUUCAGCUGUGGGCACAGGAGGCAGCACUCAGGACAACUUCCAGCAUGGCCUGCUCUCCUCUCCUCCUCGCUCUCCUCGCUCACUGCACAGGGUCCUGGGCCCAGUCUGUGCUGACGCAGCCGCCCUCAGUGUCUGGGUCCCCAGGGCAGAGGGUCACCAUCUUCUGCACUGGGAGCAGCUCCAACAUCGGAGAGGGUUAUUAUGUACACUGGUACCAGCAGCUCCCAGGAACGGCCCCCAAACUCCUCAUCUAUGAAAAUAAUAAGCGACCCUCAGGGAUUUCUGACCGAUUCUCUGGCUCCAAGUCUGGCACCUCAGCCUCCCUGGCCAUCGCUGGACUCCAGACUGGGGAUGAGGCUGAUUAUUACUGCCAGUCCUAUGACAGCAGCCUGAGUGCUGACACAGUGCUCCAGGCCCAGGGGGAACUGAGACAAGAACCCACUUCCUCCGCUACCAGGAGGGUGAGCGCCGGCAGCUGCUGCUCAGGCCUGGCCUGUGGCUUCUGCGGCUGCAGCUUCCCUCAUGGUCCCAGGGGCAUCCAGGGCCCUGCCUGGGAGUGGAGGCUCCCCCUCCCCUUCUGUCCUCAGAAUCAGGAACAGGGAAUCCAGGAAGCAGAAUAUCCCUCUCCCUUAACUUGGGACACAGGGUCUCUACACUGA
Molecule: non-coding RNA, 660 nt
Organism: Nomascus leucogenys (northern white-cheeked gibbon)
Lineage: Eukaryota; Metazoa; Chordata; Mammalia; Primates; Hylobatidae
Source: the annotation of a RefSeq genome assembly